GGUGUGGGUGGAUCCCCAGAGGCCGAAGACUCUGCAAAGCCUGGAGGGUAGAGGCAGGACUGAGGUUAGGGAACGAGGGGUCUGGCACGUCUGCUGACUUUAGAAACAACUACAGGGGCUCUGGCCUGACAAAUGGAAGGAUACUAAUGAAGGUGAUGGAUUUGACAGCUUGAGAAAGGAGGCCUUUACCAAAUCUGGAUUUCACUUAACUUUCACAACAAUUAUUGAGGCCUGUUGCUACUCCCAUUUCACAGACGCUGCUAGGGAGGUUAAGCACCCUGUGCAGGCUUACACAACUAAUAAGCCGCAAAGCAGUAUUCCAGUGGCUGCAUUUGCAGAGCCUCUGUGCUGUGUGCACCACUCGAUGCUCCCACCCACCCAGCUCCGCAGGGAGAAAACGACAGGACUCAGGGGAGGAGCAGCACUUUCAAGUGGAGGUGGGGCGGAGCCCUGCGCUAGGCCUAGACUUCUGGUUGCAUUUUUGCAGGCCCGGACCAGAGAAGAAGGGAGCCCCCAGGGGUGGGCUCUUCAUCCCCUGAGUACUCCCAGACAAGCAGGGGUGAGAACGGGAGCCUACGACUCUGCACCUGCACCUCCAGCUCCAUAAACGAAGCAAAUCAUGGCCCAUAAAAUGUCACCACUGCUGAGAAAAUGGCAGCCAGCCCAAACCUGGUGACCUGGAGAACUGCAAGGGGAGAGCUGAUCCUCACUGACCUCUUCUCCCUCUACCUGGGGCAGGAAGUGAUGGCUGAUUGAUAUAGAAGUCUUUAGAGCUCCCCAGGAGGAAGCAAAGCAGACAUGUUUCUCAACAAUGUAACAAUUUUCCUCUGUGUACUCAAUCAUUUGUAGUAGAUUAUGACUACUUCCCUCCCGAUGGUCUGGAGGAGAAACUUUCCCACCAGGCUUACACUUCAAAAAUCACUUCCCCAGGCCUUCCCCCACCCCAACCCCUUGGAGAAAUUUCCCCUCUGGGUAGGUACACACAGCUGGGGAGGCUGGUGCACCAGCCCUCCAAGAUGGCUCAGUGUGUGUUCAGUCUGUGAAGGCACUGAAGGGGGAAUGGAGGGGGAGUAGGUUGGGGCCCUUACCCCAGCCUUAGAUGAUACUUCAGGGGGUUUCCCUCAGCUCAUUAGAGAGGAGUAAGCAGACCUGAGAGUCUGUCUCUUUGGUUCCCAAGAUAAAGAGGCUCUUAAGCCUCAAAGCACUUCUGUUUUCCUAGCCUGGCUGACCCUCCGGCCUUUGUUUAAGCCCCUCCUGAACAUAGCUGCCCAACUAGGGCUUCUUGCUUGGUGAGAGCUUUGGCCACCUUCUUCUGGGUGCUGAGCUUUGAUUCCUGGCAACAAUUUCUAUCCUGGAGUUUCUGUCUAAGCAGGGGAAAAGAAGAGGUAGAGGUUGGCUUGGGUAGAGCCUCUAGAAUUUAAAAAAGUUGGUUGCUAGGUAUUGAAGCUCAGCACCCAGAGUUCCUGGCUGACACCUUUGCCCUAUACUAAGUGGGAGGAGAAGAUUCAGUGGAAAGGAGCCCUGUUGUAGAGGUGGGGAAGCCAGAGUGCAGACCUUGGAAGAGCUCACUGUUAGAAUGGGUAGACACAUAAACAGCUGGAGAGCAUGCCCUCUGCCCCUUGGCAAGGGCCUCAUGGGGGUGGGUCUUCCUGUGCAGGUGGAGGGAGGAGAAUCUCUAAGUGACCUACAGUGUUAGGUCGCUCCUCCCACUGCUGGCCCUGGAGGAAUUUUCGUGACCUGAUGGGCCCACAGUAAUCCUGCAGCAGUGAUACUGAUAUUUCUCCCAUUCCUCUGGGGGAAGUGAAGUCACCUUCUGGGCCUUUACUGCCAAAUAUAUGUCAGCUGGUUAGAACUGAGUAGAUCUGGGUGCAAUUCAGAUGCAUAGGCUUAUCUUUUUUAGGUGGCCCACGUGAAGAUUCUAGAGAUUAACAUUCAAGUUAUCAAGCCUUAAUCUUAGUUUAGAAAGAUAGCAUCUUCAAAUAGGCCUUUGCUUUGCUGAAGACAAUAGCAAAGCUGCUUUUCCUCUUGAGAUGGAGUUUCACUGUGCCACCUGGGCUAGCCUCACGCUCCUGAGCUCCAGUAAUCUCCCACCUCAGAGUCCCAAGUAGCUGGGACUAUAGGCAUGUGCCACUGUGCCUGGCUCUGUGACAUUGCUUUUUGAAAUUAUCUGUGGGUAUGAUUUUCAAGGCAUUGCCCACUGAUAUUUUUUGUGUAUAAAAAAUUAGAGAAAUAAAUUAAAAAACAUAUACAAGAUACAAACCAAUUUUUUUAUUAUUAGAUUCAGCAAAUUAGAUUCAGAAAAUUACUCUGUCAAACAGUUAUGGAUCUUUCUAAACGUUAUUCUCAGUUGCUAUGCACAUUUUGUUGUGGAAUGUAACAAAUAGUUUUGAACCUGUGACUUUACUUGAGAAGCACUGGUACAGACUGUAAACUGGAGUUUUAAGGGCUGAAUUUAGCUCUCAUUUGUGUUUAGGUUGACCUGAUCUGUUUUUUAAAAAUUGGAUUAAAAAUCCAGAGGUUUCACAAAAAAGAAAAAAAAAUCCAGCUUUUUCUGAAAAGUAAAAAGCUUCAAACAAUGCAAGCCACAUCUACAACUGGGAGGAACUGAAAAGUAGCUACCCUUUUAAGCUUAGCUUUCAGCCUUCUAUGGGCCCCAGAUUCCACCUCUUCCUCUUUUCUUAUUCCUAAGCAGGCUCACUCAUUUGAAACCAAUGCUUCGCUGUAAAAGGUGUUUAAAUCUGUGUAUUCCUAUGCAGAAUAUUCCUUACAGUGAACUUUUAGGUCAUUUUCUUAGCCUUUCCAGAGGGAAAAUUCACUCUCCAAAGGUCCAUGGAACCUCUCCAGGGCUGUGUGGCUCUGAGACCAGAGGCUGAGGUGUUAGCACAGAGUUGUUGUCACUCAUUGGGUGCCCUCAAAACUCUCUAGAUGAGUGGAUCCUGCAUUUCAAAUCUCUAUGGGUAUUUGUGUGUGUGUGUGUAAAUUUGCAUCUUUAGGUGCACGUAAGAUGUUAUUUUGAUGAAUAUUAAAAUUCAUUUAAUAAUAUCUAAGUGUUACUGAAUGCCUACCAGUUUUUUGUAACUUGGUUCUCUCUCCUCUCUGUCAGUAGAUAUACAAA
Marmota monax (woodchuck) is the source of this 3115-nucleotide long non-coding RNA. RefSeq lists it as uncharacterized. Lineage: Eukaryota; Metazoa; Chordata; Mammalia; Rodentia; Sciuridae. The record is from RefSeq and is a predicted model, not a curated record. The transcript is spliced from 3 exons.